Molecule: transfer RNA, 74 nt
Filed under: Ipomoea nil (Japanese morning glory)
Lineage: Eukaryota; Viridiplantae; Streptophyta; Magnoliopsida; Solanales; Convolvulaceae
Rfam family: tRNA
About the family: Transfer RNA (tRNA) molecules are approximately 80 nucleotides in length. Their secondary structure includes four short double-helical elements and three loops (D, anti-codon, and T loops). Further hydrogen bonds mediate the characteristic L-shaped molecular structure. tRNAs have two regions of fundamental functional importance: the anti-codon, which is responsible for specific mRNA codon recognition, and the 3' end, to which the tRNAs corresponding amino acid is attached (by aminoacyl-tRNA synthetases). tRNAs cope with the degeneracy of the genetic code in two manners: having more than one tRNA (with a specific anti-codon) for a particular amino acid; and 'wobble' base-pairing, i.e. permitting non-standard base-pairing at the 3rd anti-codon position.
Source: Rfam by way of RNAcentral
GUUGGAAUAGCUCAGUUGGUUAGAGCGUGUGGCUGUUAACUAUAAGGUUGGAGGUUCAAACCCUCCUUUUAGCG